Molecule: ribosomal RNA, 397 nt
Filed under: uncultured bacterium
Lineage: Bacteria
Description: partial 16S ribosomal RNA
Rfam family: Bacterial small subunit ribosomal RNA
Source: RNAcentral
AUACGUAGGUGACAAGCGUUAUCCGGAUUUACUGGGCGUAAAGGGCGUGUAGGCGGUCUUGCAAGUCAGAAGUGAAAUUCCUGAGCUCAACUCGGGCGCUGCUUCUGAAACUGCAGGACUUGAGUGCUGGAGGGGAUAGCGGAAUUCCUAGUGGAGCGGUAAAAUGCGCAGAUAUUAGGAAGAACACCGGUGGCGAAGACGGCUAUCUGGACAUUAACUGACGCUGAGGCGCGAAAGCGUGGGGAGCAAACAGGAUUAGAGACCCUGGUAGUCCACGCCAUAAACGAUGAAUACUAGGUGUAGGGGGUAUCGACCCCCUCUGUGCCGACGUUAACACAUUAAGUAUUCCACCUGGGGAGUACGGCCGCAAGGCUGAAACUCAAAGGAAUUGACGGGG